UACGUAGGGGGCCAGCGUUGUCCGGAUUCAUUGGGCGUAAAGCGCGUGUAGGCGGCCAGGUAGGUCCGAUGUGAAAUCUGGAGGCUCAACCUCCAGCGGUCAUUGGAAACCAUCUGGCUAGAGUCCGGAAGAGGAGAGUGGAAUUCCUGGUGUAGCGGUGAAAUGCGCAGAUAUCAGGAAGAACACCAAUGGCGAAGGCAGCUCUCUGGGACAGUACUGACGCUGAGGAGCGAAAGCGUGGGGAGCGAACAGG
Molecule: ribosomal RNA, 253 nt
Filed under: uncultured bacterium
Lineage: Bacteria
Description: partial 16S ribosomal RNA
Rfam family: Bacterial small subunit ribosomal RNA
Source: RNAcentral